RNAcentral lists this ribosomal RNA (851 nucleotides) under Vibrio parahaemolyticus. Its description in RNAcentral is "bacterial SSU rRNA". It matches the Rfam family "Bacterial small subunit ribosomal RNA", at positions 565 to 1411 of the family's 1533-position model. Lineage: Bacteria; Pseudomonadati; Pseudomonadota; Gammaproteobacteria; Vibrionales; Vibrionaceae. The record is from RNAcentral.
GCAGCAUGCAGUAGUUUAGUAAGUCAUGAUGACGACAGCCCGGUGCAUCGACGUACGUACUAGCAGUAGCAAGCUAGCUGAGAGACUACUGUAGAGGGGAGUAGCAUCUUCAGUAGUAGUGAUGAACGGCGUAGUGAUAAGAAGUACUACCGGUGACGACGGCCGCCCCCCACGACUGAUACAACACUCAGAUACGACAGGGUGAGGAGCAAACAGGAUAUGACAUCGUAGUAGUCCACGCAAUAAACGACGUCUACGAGGAUGUUGCGGCCAUCAGCCGUGGCUUUAGGAGAUAACUCGAUAAGUAGACCGCGUGAGGAGUACGGUAGCAAGAUAAAAAAUCAAAUGAAACGACGGGCGCCCGCACCAGCGGUGGAGCAUGUGUUUUAAGUUGAUGCAAGGAGAAGAACAUUACCUACUGACGACAUCCAAAGAACUUUCCAAAGAUGGAUUGCUGCCUUCAAGAACUAUGAGACAGGUGCAGCAUGGCCGUCGUCAGCUCGUGUUGUGAAAUGUUGGGUUAAGUCCCGCAACGAGCGCCACCCUCAUCCUUGUUUGCCAGCGAGUAAUGUCGGGAACUCCAAGGAGACCGCCGGUGAUAAACCGGAGGAAGGUGGGGACGACGUCAAGUCAUCAUGGCCCUUACGAGUAGGGCUACACACGUGCUACAAUGGCGCAUACAGAGGGCCGCCAACUUGAGAAAGUGAGAGAAUCCCAAAAAGUGCGUCGUAGUCCGGAUUGGAGUCUGCAACUCGACUCCAUGAAGUAGGAAUCGGUAGUAAUCGUGGAUCAGAACGCCACGGUGAAUACGUUCCCCGUCCUCUACACUCCGCCCGUCACACCAGAUUUUU